Molecule: long non-coding RNA, 215 nt
Filed under: Ricinus communis (castor bean)
Lineage: Eukaryota; Viridiplantae; Streptophyta; Magnoliopsida; Malpighiales; Euphorbiaceae
Description: long non-coding RNA (RCOM_LNC001880)
Source: RNAcentral
AGUUAGCAACAUUAGUACAACUUCCACUAUCAAUGAUAAAGAUACAAGUCUUACUUUGUACAUGGCACAUGGUAUGGAAAAUAUUGUCUCUUUACUACUGCAUAUCAUCACCAUCCUUCAUUUGCACACUGAGUGUAAGCCUAGCAACCAAAAGAUCACCCCUCAUUGGCUCUUCAACACUAUCAUCACUGUAAUCUCCUAAUUAUGGAAUUUUG